This 535-nucleotide ribosomal RNA is filed under the name Clostridioides difficile. RNAcentral describes it as "bacterial LSU rRNA". It matches the Rfam family "Bacterial large subunit ribosomal RNA", at positions 2388 to 2925 of the family's 2925-position model. Lineage: Bacteria; Bacillati; Bacillota; Clostridia; Peptostreptococcales; Peptostreptococcaceae. The record is from RNAcentral.
GUAGAGCAAGGAGGAAAAUCGGACUUAGUGAUCCGGUGGUUCUGCGUGGAAGGGCCAUCGCUCAACGGAUAAAAGCUACCCUGGGGAUAACAGGCUUAUCUCCCCCAAGAGUCCACAUCGACGGGGAGGUUUGGCACCUCGAUGUCGGCUCAUCACAUCCUGGGGCUGUAGUAGGUCCCAAGGGUUGGGCUGUUCGCCCAUUAAAGUGGUACGCGAGCUGGGUUCAGAACGUCGUGAGACAGUUCGGUCCCUAUCCGUCGCAGGCGUAGGAAAUUUGAGAAGACCUGUCCUUAGUACGAGAGGACCGGGAUGGACGUACCUCUGGUGUACCAGUUGUCCUGCCAAGGGCAUGGCUGGGUAGCUAUGUGCGGAAUGGAUAAGCGCUGAAAGCAUCUAAGCGCGAAGCCAACUUCAAGAUAAGAUUUCCCACCGCAAGGGUAAGACCCCAGAAAGACUAUCUGGUUGAUAGGUCGAAGGUGUAAGUGCAGCAAUGUAUUUAGCUUAUCGAUACUAAUAGGUCGAGGACUUGACCAAU